This 7164-nucleotide long non-coding RNA is filed under the name Medicago truncatula (barrel medic). RNAcentral describes it as "long non-coding RNA (MTRU_LNC000944)". Lineage: Eukaryota; Viridiplantae; Streptophyta; Magnoliopsida; Fabales; Fabaceae. The record is from RNAcentral.
ACCUUGCCAAAUAGAACCACAAUGAAGUGGAAAACUUGAAGGUUUUUUACUGAUUUUUCUAGAGAAAAUAAUAAAGAUGCGAGUAAUGGUGGGAGUAGCUUAUGAAGUUGCAUUAUUAAAAGGGUAUUUGUAUUUCAAAUUUCUUACCAUAUCAAAAGAUUGAGAUCUCUUAUCAACUAAUUUGAUUCAUCACAAAUGUGACAUAAAAAACCUCUCACAACAAUGGACUAAGGGAGAACCUAUAAUAUGGCCACAUUAGAUUUAAAUCGGUUGACACUUGACAUGUAACAAAAUCUUUAAUUGAAAGUUCAAACUAAUUUUUUUUUUAUUACAAUCUAACUAGUAGAUUAUGCACAGAGUGCAUUUCAAGGAAGUAAAUUUGAAACAUUGAUCAUGCUCAGAACCCUUUAAUUUGAUGGUGAAGCAGGAGGCAGGAUUCCAUAUAGGAAUGAUGAGAUCAAAGUCAAAGCACGUUCAGGUUGCCAGCUUGGAACAAGAUGUCCUGCUCCUCUUACUGUAACAAAUGUCAAUCCUUUGUAUCCCACCACAUAUCCUCCAAUCUGUCAUUAUUAUUACAAUUUGGUCGCAUUGCAAAAAUGUUAUUACUUGGUCUAGAAGAAACGUCAAUAAGUCAGUCAUAUAUCGAGUAAAUUAGCAUUUUGACACUCAAAAUUGUAAGGGUUGAGCAAUUUAGUCUCUUAAUUUUUAAAAUAUAAUAAAUUACCCCCCUUAAAUUAUAGAAUGUCAGAUCAAUCUAAUCUCUCCUUUAAUUUGAAAUAUAAAUAGACUAAUUUCAGUACCUCUUUUCCAGAAUACCAUGGACGCCAAGCAGCGUUAAUAGGGAGCUUAAGGGUGUUGAUUGAGUAUCUUGAAGAUGUGACUGGAACAACUGAAUCUGUAUCACCACUGUAGGAGAAUACACCAUCAAGAUUUAGGAGUUUGGAAUUUUUACAAAACAAAAAUUGUAACCUCUCAUCAUUCAAAACAAGAGUCUAGAUGUUACGUAUAUUAUUGUUCUUGUGAAUUCAAAUGGUCAUAACAAUUUAUACUAUAAUGAAUGUGAACUUGCCUGUAUAUCCAUAGCUUAAUGCCACUGUCGAUGAGGUACUUGACGGUGGGUAGGAUUGUAAUUGGACUGUCUUUCCAGUCAGUAAGAAGAUGACUAUGAAUUGUCAUAAAAAAUAACACAUUCUAAAUUAGAUAAAAAAAAAUACAUUUAUAUAAGUGUUAAAAAAAAGUACUAUUUUGAAAUUUCUUAAAAGUGAUUAUAGAAUAUUACGUGCAAUGGGUCCAAUUUGUAGGUUUUGCAUGAAGAGCCUUUUGAACCUCUGGUGUAUUUAGAUAGGCAGCACCAUAGUAAUCAGAACAAGGGUCAAAGUCAUUAGUUACAUAACCAGUUGAGCCAUUUUUGAGAGAAGAGUCAUGACAUAGUGGAGCAUAGAUGUUAUAGGAGUCUAUCUUUCCUUGCUCAAGGAAGGCCUUAUGUGUUGCAUUGAUACAAAUUGAUGAAACGUUUUCAGAAGUGAAGUCACAAUACUUCUCAAUCAACUCAUGAGUUUGAUCCGAGUUCAACGCAUGAGUCCAAAGGUAAUCAAAUAACCCCCUUAAACCUGUGGCAUCAUCAAUCCAAGCAUUCCCUAUCUGAAAUUUUUUAUUGUAAAGAUAAUGAUAAAGUUAGAUUUAUGAGGUUGACAGUUAUAUUGCAUUAUUAGUCUUUCAAAGUUUGAACAACAUACAGAAAUGCCUUUGAGGUUAAUAGUGGUGUUGUUAUAGAGUUUAUUGUUGUGAAGAAUAGUCGAUGCAAGCUGCGGAACAUAGUGACCAGCAUAACUCUCUCCAGUUAUGUAAAAAGCUCUUGUUUUGUACUGUGGAAAUCUCUCCAGCCAGUUGAUGAGGAAAACAUAGGCAUCUUUAGCGGUGGACUUAUCUCCUGAAUUGUCAUAGUCAGAUGUUGUGUUUGAGUAGGAAAAUCCUACUCCUGCCGGAGAUUCCAAGAAGAGUACAUUUGCAACUGCAUAUUUCAUAAGGAUAUAAGUUGGUAAGAUAAUCAUGUCUCAGGCAUGCAUCAUAAAGAAAUAAAUUAGUUAUAUUGAUGAUUGUCUCACCUUCAUUCCAAGCAUAUGGGUUGCGGUAUAAUGUUUUUCCAUCAGAAUUGACUCUGAAGGGUCCGAGCUCUUGAAAGGCUCCAUAUCCCAGUGAGGAACAACCAGGUCCUGCGAGUUUCAAACAUUAUGUUGUCAAAAUCGAAGCUUUCAAACUCGAGAGGCGAAAUAAACUUGUUGAGCUUCUGUUGACUUGACUAGUAAAACUGAGAGUUUAUCGAUUUUAUUAGAGUUUACAUAAAACUCGUUAAAGUUUCCGAAAAAGAGAGUAUUCGUGCGGGUUAAUUUGUUUUUAAGACUCAUAAUUGUAAGACUGUAAGGGUUAGCCUGAGAGCUUAACAACCAUGGUCAGAAUCAUUUCAUCAAAAGUAAAGUUCAGAUGAUGAUGCUCAUAAUAACCAGAUGUUACCAUGUUCUUUUAUAUAUAUCAAAAGAAAAAUAAUAUUCAAAAUCAAGUGAUAUUUUUCUUUAGGUUAAACUAUAUUAUGUUUCACUACUAUGAAAAUGUAGUUAUGUCAUCAAUCAAAUAUAACUAAUAAUCUAUAUAUAAAUUCUUUUUAUCGUGUGUGGUGAUGCAAAUUUUCUUAUUUAGAAGUCUCUGCAAGGUAACUUUCACAAUUUCAAACAUCAUCAUAUAAAUAAAUAAUGAUACAAUAAAGAACAUAAAAAAAUAUAAAAUGCAUACAAAAGAACAAAAGUUAACCCUCUAAAAAAAAGUGAACUGUAAAAAAAGUUUCUAGUGCAAUUUUACCUCCAUUGAACCACAGUACUAAAGGUUUAGUGGAAGAGUUAUAUGGAGACUCCACAAAAUAAUAGAAAAGUUCUCUUCCAGCCUCAGGAUCAACUGUGACAUAGCCUGAAUAUUGGUCAAAAUUUACUCCAUAGGGUUGACCAGGCAAUGUGACGAUCUUGUCUGCUAGUCUUAGCUCCUCUUGAGGUGGUGCAACAUAAGCAGCAGAAAAAGAAUGUGUUUUCAAUGCAUCUCCCUCUUCCCAAGAAAGUGUCUUAGGAGGAUUCUGAGAUUUUCUAGACAGAAUAAACUCAUUGAGUUUAUCAGCUUGACUAGCUUUGCUAUAUGGAAAAAUAACCAAAAGACUGAUCAAAUUGAGUAAUAAACAAGCAUAAAGAGAAACCUUCUUCAUCUUGUUCUCAACUUGGUUUCAAUAUAUCAUAAGUUUCUAACUAUUUAUAGAUGAAAAACAUUGACAAUUUUGAAGGACUUAUUUGGUUGUUCUUGUUGGAGCCAUGUGAAAGAAACAAGAGAGAGAUAACAUCUACCAUUGAGGCAUUGACCAAUGUCCAUGCAUUGAUCAGCCGGCUAUGUUUAAUUUAGUUUCUUCUCCUUGAAUGUAAUGUAAGGGAUUGUCAUUGUUUCCCUUUUUCUAGAAUCAUAUCAAGUUAUUUAACGUUUUAGCACUUUGUGAUUAACUUUGAAAGUUAAUGGAUGUUUGUUUCCGUAAAUUAUUGUCCUGGUUUAUGUAGUACUAGUACUACAUUCUAGUUUAUGACAGCAUAUGUAAUUGGGUUACUUAGGGGUGGGCAUAUGCUUCUCUAGUUAGGCUUUUAGAUUAAGCUCUAUUUUGAAAUUUAACAUUACCUUUUGGAGAAUUCGAUUUUAUAUGACAUUUCGUCCUAUUUAAAUUUUAUUUUAUAAUAAUACACAGCUAUUUCAACAAUUAAUCCUUAAUUAUAUAAUCUGAUUGUUAGUAAGUUAUAUAAAAUCAAAGACUGACUUACUUUAUUUAGUAUUAACUUGUAUUGUUUAUGGUUUGUGAACUAUUGUUUCAAUUGUUUUGGUAUGUUGUCUGAGUACUAGGUCCAUUGUGGAUCUAGACUAUUGCAGGAAAGUCUGAUCACAGGGACAAAUAUCAUUAAUGAUCAUGGAAUGCUUAGAUUAUCUAAGAACAACAAUUAUGAGUAUCAGGCGAUUCACCAAGCGGGCAAAGAACGGGCAGGUAACAAGCCAAUUCAGAGAGUUGAGGAAAACAUGGUAAGUUGAUUCGCCAAGAGAGCCCAAAGCUAGGUCAAAUUGAGCCAAGUUAGAUUUGUCUUCGAUCAAUAUUUUUAAAACAUCAAAUUUUUAUUAAUGCAUAAUUAAAGAUAUUAAAGAUCGUGCAUAGACAUGUGUGCAACAAUAAACAAUGUCACUUAAUACACCCGUUAUUUCUCAGUUGCCAAAUGAACUGCAGCCCUCAUUCAAUCAAAACAUGCAUCCGUGAAAUUAAGUAGCGAAAAGGACCGAAGAUAGACCAACAGGGCAUCAGACGGUUACAAAACUUCUUAAUGUUUCUUUUCAAAUUACAAACAAAAGAGAAAAGAUAGAAAUAGAGGCAUAAGUUAAAAGGGAGAAAGAAGAAGGAACAACUUCGAGUGGUGUUUGUCCUUGAGGGCAACCAUAUUGCCAUUGGAGUGGACAUAGAGAUAGAUAUAGAAAACAAAAGGUAACAAAUGGGAAGUUGACAUAGUGAAAGCAAGAUGGUGCGACCAUGCCCAUGGUGGCGGUGGAAUCUAUGGGGGAAGAACCCAUGGUGACGGUAUAAUUAAAAUAUUGAAAGUAUAUAAUCGAUUUAGAGGAUACAUUAGAAAAUUAGCUAACGAAAUCUAAUCCCACCACAAAUUUUUAACAUGUUUAGUUUCAUCACUUCUAAUGCAUUCUUUUACAUUCUAACAACCUUUCUGUUGCGAAUUCGAUGAAAAAAUUACACCAAUAACAACUUGAUGUAUGGAACAAGGGAUAAUUAAUGAGUUGAUCCAGUUCGGUCUAAAUUGACCAGUCUGAGGGAGAGAGCAGCUCUCCGUUCCACUAUAUAAUGAGUAACGUUACAAAAGAGAAAUCAAUGGGUUACAAGAAUAAGUCUCCCUCCUAUUUCUACCCAAAUUCCCAGUCUCUUCUCGUAACCAAGAGACUCAAUUCUAAUAGUGUUUCGCAAGGUGAAUCAACCCUCAAACUCUAGUGUUUGUGUUUGUUCCAAAGAGACAAACUCUAUACAAACCCUAGUUUUGUUGUUGCCUUUCUAAACCCUUGUUUCAGCCCCCUCUAUCUCAAAAUUUGCUAUGAUACAAGGUCUAUAUUUAUAGUGAAAGUAAUCCCUUUAAAAACUAAAACAAAUCUUCAAUAAAAAUACGUUUUAUUUUUAUCUUCAAUCGCACCAUCGUGGCACUAUUCGAUCCAAUCGUGCUACGAUUUUUCCAGUGAUUACUCCAGAAUUUUGCUUCAACAAUCGUGGCACGAAGCUUCUCCAUCGUGGCACGAUUCUCCAUAAUUCUGAUUUUAAGUUAACUCUCACAAUUCUCCACCUUGACUUCAAAUCAGUGAUGAUGCCAAUCAUCAACCUUCUUGCUGCUCUUUCCCUUGCUUCCCACUACUCCAAGUAGCUCCACAAGUUUACACCUCUUAACCCAUUCAGCCCUCGGAAUGUCUUCCGCCUUCUCGAAAGUCCUUGCAGUCCAACUACACUAGGAGUUUUAGGUAGUCCCACAAGCAUUCACCUUAACCUCUUCAACCAUCAGAACGUCUUCCGUCUUCUCGAAGAGUCCUUGCAGUCCAACUACACUAGAAGUUUUAGGUAGUCCCACACGCAUUCACCAUAACAUCUUCAAUGCAGGACAUCUCCCACUUCCUUGAAGAUCACCUUGCAUCCAAUCACCCUUGGCCUUCUUUUAGAGUAAUCCCGCAAGUCGUGCUAUACAUUCUUCAACCUCCGGAAUGCCUUCCGUCUUCAUGAAGAAAUCCCUUGCUCAAGUGACCCAUCUUGUGACAGUUAAAGCAUUCAGACUUUGACUUGUUACCACUCUUUCCCCGGUUACCUCUACCUCCACGCAAGGGAUAAUCAGACAACCAAAAUCAAAGUGUAUGGAACAAUUAAAUAGAAGCCAAAAGUAGAAAAACAACGGCGAGAAGAACACAAAAGAAUUUGUUGACCCAGUUCGGUCCAAAUUGACCUAGUCUGGGGGAGAGAGCAGCCCUCCGUUCCACUAUAUCACUAAAUCGUUAAGGACUUUGUUUUUCAUUUGCAUUUGUUUUCAGACUUAGACCAUGAAAGGUUGGAAUGAGAUUUUAGGGUUGAUAUCAAUUAUAAUCUCGUGUUGGAGCGAGAAGUUGUGAAUUAAAGAUCAUUCCUUUAGAUAUUUGAAGUUGAUUAAUAAUCGGGUGUUGGAUAAGAGACAUAAAUAAGUCCUUAUAAUUGAAACUAAGUUGAUAACUUUAUUAUGAGUUUGAGAUUUCUACUUUGAUCAUACAAGCAUAUACAUUAUAAGUUCCUUAUAAUUGAAACUAAGUUGAUAACUUUAUUAUGAGUUUGAGAUUUCUACUUUGAUCAUACAAGCAUAUACAUUAUAAGUUUGUGGUUUGGCCUUGCAAAAUAGAACUAAAGUGAAGUGAAAAAGUUGGAUUUUUCUAGAGAGAUAAUAAAGUUGUAAGUAAAUGGUGGGAGUAGCUUAUGAAAUUACAUUAUUAGAAGUCUAUUUGUCUUUCAAGUUUCCUACCAUAUCAAAUGAUUGAGAUCUCUUAUCAACUAAUUUGAUUUAUCAAAAAGCAAGACAUGAAACACUCUCACAACAAUAGACUAAGGGAGAGCCUGUAGACCAUACACAUAACAAAGUUAUAUGGCCACAUUCUAUUACAAUCUAACUAAUAGAUUACGCACAAAGUGCAUUUCUAGGAAGUAAAUUUGAAACAUGGAUCAUGCUGAAAACCCAUUAAUUCGACGGUGAACCAGAAGGCAGGAUUCCAUAGAGGAAUGAUGAGAUCAAAGUCAAAGCACGUUCAGGUUGCCAGCUUGGAACAAGAUGUCCUGCUCCUCUCACUGUAACAAAUGUCAAUCCUUUGUAUCCCACAACAUACCCUCCAAUCUGUCAUUAUUGUUUCAAAAAUGUUAUUACUUGGUAUAGAAGAAAAGUCAAUAAGUCGACCAUAUCUCAAGUAAAUUAUAAUUUUUUAACUCGACAUCAUAAGUGUUGAGAGUCCCUCAAAUUUACAAAAUAACAAAUUAGCCCUAAAAGUAUAGAAUGCAAAUCAAAUUAGUUUCUCACUCAAAAUAUAAAUCGACUAAUUUCAGUACCU